Molecule: long non-coding RNA, 1012 nt
Filed under: Elaeis guineensis (African oil palm)
Lineage: Eukaryota; Viridiplantae; Streptophyta; Magnoliopsida; Arecales; Arecaceae
Description: long non-coding RNA (EGUI_LNC080050)
Source: RNAcentral
UGAAUUAUACAUGAUUUAUGAAAUUAUAUUUUGAACAACAAGUGAUUUGAAAAUUUGAUAUUUUAUUGAAAUACUAUGGCUUAUUGAUUAUGCAUAUAUUCAGUGAAAUUAUGAUAUCUUAUAUGUUAUGCUGUAAAAGUACUUUGAUAUGGAUCAGAUUUGUGCUCUUAACCUAACUAUAUUUCAAUGAGCCCCAUCAAUGGAUAUUAUAUUUUGGUAAUCGGUCGGCUCCACCAAUGAAGAUUAUAUGUUGGUAAUCAAUGGACCCCGCAAAUGGGGAUUAUACGUUGGUACUCAGUGGAUCUUGUCAAUGGAGGUUGUGCGCUGGUAUUCAGUGGAUCCUGCUAAUGAGAAUUAUAUAUUGGCUAUAAUUAAAGGCUAUUGAGUUUUAUAUGUUUUUGAUUCAAAUCGAAUUUAUGAUUGUGCAUGCAUAUGAGUAUUAAAAUUAUUUGACUUAUUUAAGUAAGCAUAGAAUAUAUUCCUAUAUAUAUUUAUGGCAUUAUUUUUGAACAUUAUAUCUAUGAUAAUAUCUGAAAUAUCUAGUUGAGAUAUCGAUUUGUUUGUUCAGUGUUCUACAAGAAGUGAUGAACUGUCUUCUCAAGAUAUUUCAUAAUUAUUUUGAAAGCAAGUGUCAGUCUUUGAAUUAUACAUGAUUUAUGAAAUUAUAUUUUGAACAACAAGUGAUUUGAAAAUUUAAUAUUUUAUUGAAAUACUAUGGUUUAUUGAUUAUGCAUAUGUUCAAUAGAAUUAUGAUAUCUUAUAUGUUAUGCUGUAAAAGUACUUUGAUAUGGAUCGGAUUUGUGCUCUCAGUCUAACUAUGUUUCAGUAGGCCCCAUCAAUGGACAUUAUGUAUUGAUAAUCGAUGGGCUCCACUAAUGGGGAUAUACAUUGGUAAUCAGUAGGCCCCGCAAAUGGAGAUUAUACGUUGGUACUCAAUGAAUUCUGUCAAUGGGGAUUGUGCAUUGACAUUCGGUGGAUCCUGCCAAUGAGAGCUAUAUAUUGGUCAUAAUUA